RNAcentral lists this long non-coding RNA (41277 nucleotides) under Gossypium raimondii (Peruvian cotton). RNAcentral's name for it is "long non-coding RNA (GRAI_LNC005966)". The record is from RNAcentral. Lineage: Eukaryota; Viridiplantae; Streptophyta; Magnoliopsida; Malvales; Malvaceae.
UCUUCAAUGGGGAGGAGAAAGAUUUUGUAAUGAAAGUAUUGGAUGGUUGUGAGUUUUUCCCAGAUAUUGGCAUUGAUGCUCUCAUUAAAAAAUCUCUCAUAAAAGUCGAUGAACACAAAUAUUUGUGGAUGCAUAACUUGUUGCAAGAAAUGGGAAGAAAAAUUGUUAAAGAAAAAUGUGUUGAUGAACCUGGAAAACGUUGCAGAUUAUGGGAGGAAAGAGACGUCUAUCAUGUCCUAACAAAAAACACUGUAAGUCAUUUAACAAAAGUUACAUACUAUUUCUAUUUUGUUAUAUAAUAUCAAAUCAAUAUAUGAUAUAAACCCAAAGCUUAGUCUAAUUGGUUGAUACAACUAUUCUUAAAAAGUGAUCUUUAGUAAUUUUGAGAUUACAAAUAUUAAAAAGGAUUUGUAGAAAUAAAUAUUUAAUUUCAUUGCAUUGCCCUCUUUAGAGGAUAUAUAAUAUUUGUAGAAAUUGUUUUACUUCGUUUAAAAUGCUUUAUUUAUUAUAUUUAGAAUAUAAUAAUGCUAAAUAAAAAUGUAAGUUUUUAAAAGUUUUAUCCUACAUUAUACACCAUUUAUUUUGUUUUCUUAUUUUCUAUUCUUGAUUUUUCUUAGGGUACAAAAAUGAUUGAAGGUAUAAUCAUCAAUAAUAAAAGGUAAGAAGACACAUAAAACUUAUAUUUAUGUGUACUGUAAAUAAUUAUUUUGUUUUCUUAAAUAUGAUAAGAAAUUAUAGCAAAAUCUUUGAUACUCAAUAUUUCAAUGUUUAAUUAUGAAAUUUAUUUAGUAGCGUAUUACUCUUUCAAAAGAAUCAAUAGAGAAAUGUAUGUCUUUUUGAAAUAUUAAUAGUAUAUCAAUGAAUUAGAUUAUAACAUAACUUUUAGAUAUUGAAUGUUUUUGUAUAUUGUGAAGCUCAUUUUCAUUUUGUUUUAUUCAUGAUUAUUAGGGAAUCGAGCAAGAUGCUCAACUUGAGUGUCGAUGCCUUCUCAAAAAUGAAAAAGUUGAGAUUGCUCAAAGUGCUUUGCCUAUCAAAUUGUGAUGAUCUCAAAUUUCUUUCUAAUGAGCUACGGCUUUUAGAUUGGAAAGGAUACCCUUUAAGAUCGUUGCCUUCAAGCUUCCAACCGGACAACCUUGUUGCACUUCUGUUACCAUAUAGUCGCAUUCAACAACUAUGGAAGGGAAAUAGAGUAAGAAUUAACUCAUCUCAUCCUUGUAUUUUAGCUUAUUUUAAUAUAAAUGAUUAAACUUUGAUUAAGGUAAAAAGACAAAAAUAAGCAUUAUUAUGUUUUCUCAUUUGUUUCUAAUUUAUUGUGAUCUUCAACAGCCCUUGUGUAAGUUGAAAAUCAUGAACCUGGAAGGGUCCCAAAACCUGAUCAAGACACCAGACUUCACAACGGCAUCAAAUCUUGAAGUUCUAAUAUUGAAAGGUUGUACCAAAUUAGUGGAUGUUCAUCCAUCAAUCGCAGUACUUAAGAGCCUUAAAGUUUUGAAUUUAAGAGAUUGCAAAAGUCUUAGGAGUCUUCCGACCAUAAUUGGAAUGGAAUCUCUUGAAACAUUAAUUCUUUCCGGUUGCUCAAGUCUUGUAAGGUUUCCGGAGAUUGAUGGGAAAAUGGAACGUCUAAAAACUCUAGAUCUUUCCGGUUGUUUUAGAGUUGAAAAUCUAUCGGAGAAUUUGCAGCAUGCAGAGUUUUUGGAAGAGCUCGACUUGAGUGAAACAGCCAUAACAGAACUACCAUCCUUCAUUUUUCAAUUUAAAAAUCUUAAAGUUCUGUCUUUCAAUGGAUUCGAAAGAGGAAGGACAAAUUCCAUCGCUCCGAUGUUGCCUUUGUUGUCAGGUUUGAGUUCAUUAAGUAAGCUAAAACUAAGGGACUGCUAUCUUUGUGAAGGAGAUAUUCCAAGUGAUAUUUCUGGUCUAUCCUGUUUGAAAGAACUUGAUCUUAGUGGUAACAAUUUCAUCAGCAUACCUGCAUCUCUUACUCGACUCUCCAAGCUUGAAGAGCUUAUAUUGUCAAAUUGUAACAUCUGCACUCUUGGUGAAGCAGAUAUUCAUGGUCUAUCCUCUUUGAAAUGGCUUUUUCUUAACGGUAACAAUUUCAUCACCGUUCCUUUGCCUCUGACUCAACUUUCCAAGCUUAAAUUGCUUGCAUUAUCAAAUUGCAUGAAGCUUAACUCGUUGCCUCAGCUACCAACAAGUAUAGAAGAUGUGUGGCUAGAUGGUUGUUCUUCACUUGAAGUAGUUGCAAGUCCAUCAAAAGUAUGCAAUUUAGUGGAUUCGGCUGCUAUUUUACCCUUUAACUGCUUCAAAUUGGCUGAGAAUAGCAAUGCAUUAACACUGCUGAGAAAACAUCUUAAGGUCGAUUAAUCUCUCUUUUUCUCACUUACAAAAUCUCAUACUUGAGAAUUUAUGGUUUUAGUUACCUAACGACUUGUGUUUUAUUUUGCAGGCAUUUGCAAAUUCAAGAAAAAUGUUUGAUAUUAUCAUGCCAGGAAGUGAAAUCCCAGAAUGGUUUAGCCAACAAAAAGGUGACUUCUUUAUUAAGAUUCCCUUACCGAUUAACCUUCAAGAGGAUAGUGAAUGGAUUGGAGUUGCUUGUUGCUGCAUUUUUGUCAAUAAUGAUGCUUCAAGGGAUGUGGCCUUUAUCGACUGUGGAGCGUUAAUGUAUGGUAGAAACCGUCGGCAGAUUGAGAGGAGAGGCUAUUUGGUGGGUAAACGAUACAACAAGCCCAUAAUGAAAGAUCACAUUUUUCUUCGUUAUUGGUCGCGUGAUAAAUUAUAUCCAGUUUCCUUGAAGGAUAAAUAUGGUGGCUGUGAAACCAAUAAUUUACGGACAACAGAUUGCUUAGAUCAUAAACAUGAUGGGCUUCAUGUGUUUUUCAAUGGUCAUAGCCUUAAAGUGAAGAAGUGUGGUGUUAGAAUAGUGUAUGAGAAAGAUUUGGAAGAAAUGAAAGAGUUGCAGUGCGAUACCACUCAAUCUUCUCCAAAUUUUGAGCACAUCCACCAACACUCUGCUCACAACCAUGGAACAGUAGGUAGCAGUUCUCACAUAAAACGGAAACGUAAUAUCUAUGAGGAAAUGGUGGAAGAAGAGCCGCAACCAAAACGGAUGCAAAAUUUUUUCAAUUUUAUAAUGGGCCAAUCAGGGAAGAAGCAUUAACUGUGGUAAACUACUUAACCAUCCUUCUUACAUACCAAAAACUUAUAAAUCUUUUACUUAUAUUCAACAGGAGCUCAUAUUCCGUACAUAUCACAAUUGUUGAUAACAUAGUUUAUAUAUAUCAUUUAAAAUUUUAGUCGCUUAAUUCAUUCCUUUUUAUAUAACUGAAAUGUGUAAAUUUUGAUGGUUUCAUUUUUUAUUAAAAUUGUAUUUUCAUUAUAUAUACACUUACAUCUAUAUUUUAUUUGUAGGUUGAAAUAAAUAUAAUCAACUUGAGAUAGAAAUGUUGAGAAAAAUGGAUAGUUUCCGUGACAAAACAGGUAACAAUAAGGUGAAAUCCUUUAAUAAAGGCCAGAUCAUGAUUUUCAACUGUUGUGUUUUUUGUGAUAUUAACAAAAUUUUCUUGAUUUGAGGUAAGUUAAUAUACCGGUGAUAGAGAAAGGAUUAUAUGAAACUAUGGUUCCACGUCAUUCCUAUACAUUUUCAAUAGGAGAAUGACAACUCAAAAUUUUAGUAUUUUUAGUUGAAUUUGAAUUUGUCGGGAGGAAAAAGUUGAAAAUCGGGAGGAAAAAUCUGUUUUGUUAUUCUUCUAUUAGAAGGUGAUAUGAAUGAUUUAAAAUCACAGUUUCAUAAAAUCCCUUAAAAUCCCUUCUCACCAGUGAUGUAGAUGAUCUCAAUGCAACAAAAAUAACCUUGGUGUUUUAUGUUUGUCCCCUAGGCUAAUAGAAGUAUGAAAGUUUGGUCAAAGGAUCAUGCAAGUGAGGGACCAACAAAAGUCUUCAAGCUGAAAUGAAAGCGGACACUUUAGCAAUUAUAGGCUGGGAUGAAUUUAGAGAAAUAGAUUAUGUUAUUACAUAAUUAGUUGUUUUUUUACAUGUAAUGUAAAUUAUAGUAUUUUAAAUCGACCUUUUGAAUUUGUAAUGUAAAUUCAAAUAGUAAUUUAAUUGUAAUGUAAAUAAAACCUUUUAAAUUAGGCAUAAUGACAAAAAAGGUUCUUAGUGUUUAUAAAAUUUGACAAUUUAACCCUUAUUUUUUUAAGCAAUUUAGCUCUUAACAUUUUAUUUUGAGUCAAAUUAUGGAUUUUUUAAUGCAAAAUGCUUAUUGAACUAUUAACAGUGUUGACUUGACAUGAAUAGUGAAUUCAUUCCUUUUUACAAAUUUUAGUCACUCAAUUCAUUCCUUUUUACAUAAAUGAAAUGUGUACUUUUUUUUAAUUUUAUUAUAUAUAUAUAUAUAUAUAUAUAUUAACUUACAUGUAGGUUGAAGUUAAUCUAAUCAACUUAAUACUGAAAUAUUAAAAAAAAUGGAUAUCUUUUGUGACGAAGCAGGCAAAAAUAAAAUGAAUCCUUUAAUAAGGAUUAAUCAUUAUUUCAGCUGAGUUAAAAAUCAUUUCAUUUUUAUUAGAGAUUAAUUUAUGUGUUCAAUUUAAUCAGUCAAAAUUAUUUUUAUAUAUUGGGAAGAUUAAAUAUAAGUCCUUAAUAGUACUUAAAUAGGUUUAAUUCCUUCUAAUAAAAGUAACAUUUAAAUUUCAUGGCUUGAAGUACAAAUAAUAGUAUUCCAACUCUUUUAGUUUAUAUUGUUUAUACAGUAUUUAUAUUUAAACAUUUAUUUUUAACACUGAUUCAAACAUGAAAAUAAAGUAUGCUCUUUUAAUUAAUUGGAAAAUAUUUUUUGCGUGUGAGGCUUAUUCAACCUUUUUUUUUUUUUUACUUCAAUAGAUUUAUUUUUUGUUCUUGUCUAAUUUCCCUUUUCUGUUCUUGACAGUGGUUGUGUUUUCUGUAAUAUCAACAAAACUUUCUCAAUUUGAGGUAAGUUAAUAUACCAAUGAUAAUGAUGAUAUCAAUGCAACAAAAAUAAUUUUGGUGUUUUAUGUUUGUCCCCUAGACCGGUAGAAGCAUGGCUCAAAGGAUAAUGCAAGUAAGGAAUCGACAAAAGUCAAGUUGAAAUGGAAGUCAACACUUUCGCAUUUGGAUGAAUUUAGAAAAUUACGAUUUCAAAAAAUAGAUUAUGUUAUUAUAUAAUUUGUUAUUUUUUACUUGUAAUGUAAUGUAAACUAUACUAUUUUAAAUGGGGUUUUUGAAUUUUUUGCUUGUAACAUAUAAAUUUAAUUGUAAUGUUAAUAAAACCUUUUAAAUAGGUAUAAUGACAAAAAAAUGUUCUUAGCAUUUAUAAGAUUUUAUUUUGAGUUAAACUAUAAAUUUUUUUAUUGCAAAAUGCUGAUUAAACCGUUGACGUGAUAUGAAUAGUAAACUCUUUUUAAGGUUGGUCUCAAUUGGAUCAUCUUUCACAAUAGCCUUAUUUAUGUUUAUUAUGUUUUCUCAUUUGUUUCUAAUUUAUGAUGGUCUUCAACAGCUCUUGUAUAAGUUGAAAUGCGGCUGAGAUGGGAUUGCAUGUGGGAUUCUCGAGGGUGGAGAUCGAAGGAGACUCCUUAUCUGUGAUUCGGAAGCUGCAAAUAAAGGGAGUUGAAAGGUCAGUGAUAGGAGCCUAUAUCUCAAGUAGAGGGAUAUCAAAUCUGUGUCUUUAAACAUGUGCCAAAACAAGCAAACGGAGUUGGACAUCUAUUGGCUAUAGAGGGAUUAAAGAGAGAUGAAGAAACUUAUCUUGUUGGUGCGGUUCCUUCAUACACGAAAGUGGCAGCGGAAGAGGACCGUCAACAGUUGGGCCCACUAUGUCCAGCAGGUCAAAGAUCCACUGCUUAGAAAGAAGAUAAAAUGGGAUUUUACUGUGGGCAAACAGAUCGGAGAAUAGAUGGACUACUGGGUUUCUCAGUUUCAACGGAAGAUUGGUGUUUUGAAGUGAUGAAAUGCAGAGUUUAGCCAGACCUGAAGGGUUUCUGUUGAAAAAGACAGCAGCAACUAAGCAAAAUUCAAACAGCCAAGACUAAAGCUCAUUAACAGCAAAACAAAACAAAAAGAACAAACUGAAAAUCCAAAGAGAAGCAACAAGUAACCGAAUGAGAAAGUCCUAGCUUUCAUUUCCAUUUCAAAAUAUAAAGGGGUUACAAAAAUAAUAAUAAUAAGUUAGUUACCUAAACUGUAACUGCUCUUAACAAAUUUGGCAAGUUGCCAACUAAAAUAUUACAAAAGAAAAGCUGAAAAAAUUCAGCUGUUACAUCCAUCAAUUUCAAAUCUAAAAAUAUUAGCUUUAGAUAUCAAGCAACUUGCCAACUUGUUAAUAUAAAAAAAAUACAAAAUUUAAACAAAAGAAAGUUGCUUCUAGUUCAAUCUUCAAACAGACAUGCUGCUGCUGCUCACGAUGCUGGUAGUUUGUUGCAUUGCAGACCAAUGCUCAACACUCCUCCUUGGACUGUAGGCAACAAACACCAAUCGAAUCUCGUAAGAAUUCAAACCUGAUUGUGCCAAGAGGCUUUGUCAAAAUGUCAGCCAAUUGAUCUUGUGAGCUGCAAUGUAUAAGACACACUUCUUUGGAUUGAACAACUUCUCGAACAAAGUAAAACUUGAGCUUAAAAUGUUUGGUUUUUCCAUGAAAAACAGGAUUUUUGGAGAUGGCAACUGCUGACUGAUUAUCCACCAUAAUUUCAGUAGGCUCAAGCUGUUCUUCAUUCAAAUCACAUAGCAACUUCCUAAGCCAAAUGGCUUGAUUCACUGCUGCAGCUGCUGCUAUGUAUUCUGCUUCAGCAGUAGACUAAGCAACAGUUUGUUGCUUCUUUGAACUCCAACUGAAAACUCCCGAACCAAGUGUAAAGAAGUAGCCUGAAGUACUUCUCAUAUCAUCAACUGAUCCACCCCAGUCACUAUCUGAGUAGCCAGUUAAUUUCAGCUCACUUCCUUUCUUGAACAUUACACCAAACUUCAAAGUACCUUUGACAUACCUGAGUAUUCUCUUUGCUGCUUUCAAAUGAGUUGUAUUGCAGCUAUGCAUGAAUCUAGACAGUAGACUAACUGAAUGCAUAAGGUCAGGUCUGGUUGCUGUCAAGUAUAGUAAACAACCAAUCAGGCUUCUAUACUCCUUUUCAUCUACCUUUUCUUCAUUUCCAAAGCUGCUUAGUUUCGAUCCCACAUCUAAUGGUGUGCUCACUGGUUUGCAGUUUUCCAUAUGAAACUUAGUGAGAAUUUUCAAGGCAAAUGCAUGCUGGCUAAUAAAAAUGCCUUGAUCAGACUGGUCUACUUCCAUACCAAGGAAGUAAGUCAUGAUUCUCAAGUUUGUCAUGUCAAACAUGUCUUGCAUAUUCUUCUUGAACUCCUGAAUCAAAUUGACCCUGCUUCCAGUCACAAAUAGAUCAUCCACAUAUAUUGAGACAAUCAGCAAAGUCUCAUCUUUGGACUUCUUUAUAAACAAAGUUGGCUCACUCAAACUUUUCUCGAAAUUGAGCCUAGACAGGUAAGCAUCUAUCUUGUCAUACCAGACUCGAGGAGCCUGUUUUAGUCCAUAGAGUGCCUUCUUCAGCUUGUAAACCUUGUCCUCCUUUCCUUGGACUUUAAAUCCAUCAGGCUGUUCAACAUAAAUUUCUUCUUUAAGAAAACCAUUCAGGAAAGCUGACUUGACAUCAAGUUGAUGGACCCUCCACUGCUUUUGUGCUGCGAAGGCAAACAGAAGCUUUAUGGUAUCCAGCCUUGCCACUGGAGCAAAUGUCUCCUCAAAAUCAAUGUCAAACUGUUGAUUGUACCCUUUCACCACAAGCCUUGCCUUGUGUUUGUUCAAAGAGCCAUCAGCAUUGAAUUUGGCCCUGAAAACCCAUUUGACACCUAUGACCUUCUUCUGAUCAGGUCUGUCUACCAGAUCCCAAGUGUCAUUUUUGUGGAUCAUGUCAAUUUCAACCUCCAUAGCCUUCUUCCAGCUCUUGCUUCUUGCAGCUUCUUCAUAGCUUGAAGGCUCAACAAUGGCCACAUUGCAUCUUUGGUAGAUAUCAGCAAUAGACCUGGUCCCCCUCACAGGAGCAUCAUCUACAUUGGCAUUACUGACUUCAUUUUCUGCCAAUUCCAGAUUGCUGUCAAUCUGCUCUUCUUCAAACUAACUUGUGUUAGAGCCAUCUAGACUCCAAAACCUUCCUUCAUCAAAUUUGACAUCCCUGCUUACCAAAAUCUUCUUGGUUGAAGGAUCAAAUACUCUGUAGCCCUUCUUGCAGCUACUGUAGCCAACAAAUAUACCAGGAACUGACCUCUUCUCGAGCUUGGUUCUUCUUUCUGCAGGGACAAGUACAAAACACAUGCAACCAAACACUUUUAAAUGGGAAACAGUUGGUUUGAGAUCAUACCAUGCUUCAAAAGGAGUUUUAUCAUUCACAGCAUGUGUUGGUAGCCUAUUGAGCAGGUACACUGAGGUGUUGACACCUUCAGCCCAAAAAAUUCUUGGAAGCUUGCUUUGAAACAACAAACACCUGGUCAUGUUCAUCACUGUUCUGUUCUUCCUUUCACAUACUCCAUUUUGUUGAGGAGUAUACACUGAGGUCAAUUGAUGAUGAAUCCCAGCCUGCUCACAUAGCUUCUGAAAUAUUUCAGACAAGUAUUCAGAACCAUUGUCUGUCCUCAAGGCCUUAAUCCUGCAGCCUGUUUGAUUUUCUGCCAAUGUCUUGAACUUUCCAAAAACUUCAAACACUUCUGACUUCUGUUUCAUGAAAUAAACCCAGCAAAAUCUGGUCAGAUCAUCAAUAAACAGUAUAAAAUACUUACUGCCAUUCAGUGAAGGCGUCUUCAUUGGUCCACAGACAUCUGAGUGCACCAACUCAAGUCUUUCUUGAGCCCUCCAUGCUUGGUUUACUGGAAAAGGCAACCUGGCCUGCUUACCAAGCUGGCACACUUCACAAACAGACUCAUUUGCAUCAACCUUAAUCAUGUCCUCUGUCAAACUUAUAUUGUGUAGCAAAUUGAGUGACCUGAAAUUGACAUGGCCAAAUCUUCUAUGCCACAUAUCAGCAUUGUCAACUGAACUUGUAUAGGCUCUUCUCUCAAGUUGGCUCACAUCCAGCAUGAAACACCUAUCUGCCAUUGGUGCUGAAACAACUUCUCUACCAAGAACAUCAUUAAUAACACAAGAAUCAUUCUUGAAAACUAGAGAGUAGCCUUUCUUAACCAGCUGACCUACACUAAGUAGAUUUUGAUCUAUUUCAGGUACAUAGAGCACAUCUGUAAUAACCUUUUUACCUGAACCAGUGUUGAUCACAACAUCACCUCUGCCUUUAGCUUCAAUCAGAUUCUCAUUGCCUAUCCUGACCUUUGAAGUAAAACUCCUGUUAAGGUCCUUGAAUAGGCUCUCAUCUGAUGCCAUGUGAUGUGAGCAGCCACUAUCCACAAGCCAACUGCAUUUGGAUUUGCUUGUGGUUGCAGAACAUGAGGCAGUGAAGACAUGCUCCUCCUGAGCUUGAAGAUCUUCAGCAGUCUUGGCUUGUACUGGCAGAGUUUGUGCCUUUUCUUGAUUUCUACAAAUCUUUUCAUGGUGACCAUACUGCUUGCAACUCUUGCAUUGGAUGUUUGGUCUGUUCCAGCAAUACUUCUCUAAAUGAUUAGUCUUCUUGCAGUGAACACAUGGUGGAAACCUCCUUCUACCAGCAUCUUUCUUUGAUCUUUCCCUCUUUUCAAACCAAGGCUUCUUAGCUUUCUGACUUGAGCUGGAGCCUUCUCUGACCUUUGCUUGAAAAACACCUUCAGGACUCUCCUCCUGCCUACUUGCUCUUCUCUGCUCAAGUGCAUAGAGUGAGUUAGCCAACUCAGACAAAGAAAUGAUUGUGAGAUCUCUCGAGUCCUCUAAUGAGCAGAUUUUUGACUCAAACCUUUCAGGUAAGGUGGUAAUAACCUUCUCAACAACCCUGCUGUCACUGAAAUCUUCUCCAAGGAGUCUGAUAUUAUUGACAGUAGCCAUAAUUCUAUCAGAAUAUUGCUUGAUAGUUUCUGACUCCUUCAUCUUCAAAUUUUCAAACUCCCUUCUAAGAUUUGUAGCGACCUAAAAAUUUGGGGUACGGGCGCUAGUCGAAAUAAUUAUUGAAAAUUUAAAAACAGCGUCUCGAUUUUAUUUGCAAAAGGAGUUGCCACUGAUCUUUUUUUAGGUGUGAUCGGACACCUAAUAAAUUCUAUUUUUAGAAGAAAAAUUUAUUUUUAAAUUUUCCUAAAAAAGAGGUAAUUUUAGGUCUGCGUGAAAAUCCAGAUAAAAUUAAGGUUCGGGAGUCGGUUACGCGCGAGGAAGGUAUUAGCACCCUCGCGACACCCAAAAUUGGUAUCUCGUUAAACGCACGUCGUCUUAAUUUUCAAAAAUACGAGUUCAAUUUAAUAUUUACUCGUGAUCCAAUUGAAACAUGAGAAUUUUUUUAAAACACGAGAAUUUUGCAGCACCAAUUUUUAAAAAAAACGAAAAUUUUUGAAACAUGAGAAAUUUUUUUAAAAACACAAAAAUUUUUGAAACACGAAAAUUUUAAAAAACACGAAAAUUUUUAAAACACAGCAAUUUUUGAAACACGAUAAUUUUUCAAAACACAAAUUUUUUUAAAGAACAUGACAAUUUGUGAAACACUAGAGUCAUUGAAAACACGGAAAUUUGUGAAAAAACAAAAAUUUAUGAAACACAGAAAUUUAAAAAAAAACACAGAUUUUUGAAACACCGAAAUUUUUGAAAACACGAAGAUUUUUGAAACACGAAAAUUUUUGAAAAUACGAAUUUUUUUUAAAUACAGAAAUUUUUAAACACGGGGAUUUUUGAAACAUGGAAUUUUUUUAAACGUGAAAAUUUUUGAAACACAAUUUUUUUUAAGAAGUGCCGUAUUUAACACGAAUCAAUAAUAUUCAUCCCUACAUGGCGAUGAAAUCAUCGAAUUAGUGCCAAAUCGAUUCAACUUAAUAUUUAAUCGUGAUUUUAUUAAAACACGAGAAUUUUAAAAAAACAUGAGAAUUUUAGAAUAUUUUCGAUUUUUUUUAAAAGGGCGUAUCGUGUUUAACACAAACCGAUGGUAUUCACCCAACAUAGCGAUGAAAUCAACAAUUGAAUGUUAAAUCGAUUCGUUGCCUUAUUUAUUAAAAUUACUUAAAAUAAAAUAAAAUUGAAAUUGAAUUAAAUUAAAAAUAUAAAUGCAAAAAUAUAAAAAUGCAUAAAAGUACAAAUAAUACUAAAACGGAAUAGCAUAAAAAUACGGGUAUUAAAUUAAAAGUGAAAUAAACGAAAUUACCAGAAAUAUCCAAAACACGAGCUUAGUCGAACGGGUUACCAAAUUGAACCCUUUUCUUUUUUUCUUUUUUCUUUUUCUUUUUUUCUUCCUUUUUUUUCUGCUGCUGGGCCGGCCUGUUGGACUGCUGGGCAAACUGGGCCUGGCGCUGUGGGCCUUCUGGGCUGGUCUGGUGCUGCCUAGAUGCCUGCUGGGCCUUUGCUGGAAAUGGGCUGCUGUUGGCCUGCUAACAAAAAUGGCCUGCUGUGUUUUUUUUUGCUGUUUGCUGUUUUUUUAGGGGCUGCUCUUUUUUUGGGCUGCUGGGCUGCUGUUUUUUAUUUGGGCUUCUCGGAUGAUGCGGGUCGGGCCUGGUGCGGGUCGGGUCGGGUCGACNNNNNNNNNNNNNNNNNNNNNNNNNNNNNNNNNNNNNNNNNNNNNNNNNNNNNNNNNNNNNNNNNNNNNNNNNNNNNNNNNNNNNNCUUUUUUCUUUCUUCUUCGGGUCACCCCUAGCCCCCACGCCGUCGCCGACCCCCCCUCCGUCCGGUGUUGCGGUGGCCGACGCGACUCCCUUCUCCUCUCUUCCUCCCUUUCUUUUCUCUUCUCUUUUCUUCCUUUUUCCUUUGGGUUGCUGUUUUUUUUUGCUUAUUGCUUUUUAUUUUCUCUUUGCUUGUGUUGUAGGUGUUGGGACGGUAGUGGCGGUGCUGUCGUGGUGGUGGGGACGGUGGCGCGCGGUGGAGCUGCUGUUUUCCUUGUGUUUUGCUGCCUUUUUUUUCAUUUUUUCUCUGCUGUUUUUUUGGUUUUUUUGGCUGCCGAAAAAAUCCCCCCAUUUCUCUCCAAUUUCCUCCUUUUUAAUCCCCUAAUUUUGUCAUCUUCUUCUUGUUUGCAGGUGGCAGAGGAGGGCAUCAUGGCCUAGGGAGGCUGCUGGAGUAGCUCGGCUGGGGAAGGGUACGUUCGGCUGCUGAUUGCAGCGAUUUGACAAGUCCAGAAGGACUAAAUUGCAUGGGAUGCAAAGCUUCUGCGGUAAAAGUGUAAUUUUAGCAAAAAUAUGGGCCAAAAUGUAAUUUCUUGAGAGUUUAGGGGUCAAAGUGAAAUUUUUAGAAAGUCUAAAGGUCGAAAUGUAAUUUUAGAAAGUUUUGGGGUUAAAAUGUAAAUUUUGGAAAAGUUUGGGGUCAAAAUGUAAAUUUUGAAAAGUACAGGGGUUAAAAUAUAAAAAAAACUUUUUUUGAAACACGAAAUUAAUCCCGGACAAAAUUCAGUGAUUACAAGAUUAAUUACUUGUUGCUGCCUUGUCUUGUUUGAUCCCAUGAACUCCUCUUUCAGCCUAUCUCAUGCUUGUUUGGGUGAGUCACAGGCCAUGAUGCGAGUAAAAAUCAUAUCAGACACUCCAUUCUGUAGGCAGGCCAUGGCUUUAUGCUUCUUGGCUCGCUCCUCACCAUGUUGCCUGAUCUGAGCAAUGGUUGGAUUUGCUCUCAAUAGUGGUGGCUCGACAUCAUUUUCAACUGCACUCCACAGAUCAAGUGCUUGGAGGUAAGUUUUCAUUUUAACUACCCAAAUGUGGUAGUUUUCUCCAGCAAAAACUGGUGGUGGAGGAGGUGCAAAGCUCAUGUUGUUGGAACUGGUUUGACAAACACGAUUUUUGAGUUUAUUUUGAAACAAAAAAAUUUAAACAACAGAGGUCCUCAAAGACAAGAGGCUCUGAGAAAAAGACAGCAGCAACUAAGCAAAAUUCAAACAGCCAAGACUAAAGCUCAUUAACAGCAAAACAAAACAAAAAGAACAAACUGAAAAUCCAAAGAGAAGCAGCGAGUAACCGAAUGAGAAAGUCCUAGCUUUCAUUUCCAUUUCAAAAUAUAAAGGGAUUACAAAAAUAAUAAUAAUAAGUUAGUUACCUAAACUGUAACUGCUCCUACCAAAUUUGGUAAGUUGCCAACUAAAAUAUUACAAAAGAAAAGCUGAAAAAAUUCAACUGUUACAUCCAUCAAUUUCAAAUCUAAAAAUACUAGUUUUAGAUAUCAAGCAACUUGCCAACUUGUUAAUAUCAAAAAAAUACAAAAUUUAAACAAAAGAAAGUUGCUUCUGGUUCAAUCUUCAAACAGACAUGCUGCUGCUGCUCACGAUGCUGGUAGUUUGUUGCAUUGCAGACCAAUGCUCAACAGUUUCUUCCACUUGCAUCGGAAAGAUCUAGCAGACAUUUUGGUGGUUAUCAACAAAACAGAGAAGGCAUCUGAAGGGUUUCGCUUUCUCAGAUGUCUAGGGAAAAGGAAAGUCUGCCUGGGUGUUUGGAUUAUCCUGCUUUUAUUUAACGUUUGUUUAUUGCAUAUUUUCUGUUUUGUCUAGGCUCUAAAUGAUUUGGAAUUUGUUUUAUUAAUAUAAUCCAGCCAUUCAUAUUUCAAAAAAUAAAAAUAAUAAUGGGUCCAAACCUGAUCAAUUCACUAGACUACACACAAACAUCAAAUCUUGAACUUCUGAUUUUUGAAAGGUUGUACCAAAUUAGUGGAUGUUCAUCCAUCAAUUAGAGUGCUUAGGAACCUUAAACUUUUGAAUUUAAGAGAUUGUAAAAGUCUCAAGAGUCUUCCGACUGAAAUUGGAAUGGAAUCUCUAGAAACAUUAAUUCUUUCGGGUUGCUCAGGUCUUGUAAGGUUUCCGGAGAUUGAUGGGAAAAUGGAACGUCUAAAAACUCUAGAUCUUUCUGGUUGUUAUAGAGUGGAAAAUUGAUCGGAGAAUUUGCAGCAAGCAAAGUUUUUGGAGCUCGACUUGAGUGAAACAGCCAUAGCAGAACCACCAUCCUUUAUUUUUCAAUUUAAAAAUCUUAAAGUUCUUUCUUUCAAUGGGCGCAAGGGACCAUCAUAUAAGUUACUACCAAAUUUGCCUUCUCUUUUCAAGGUAAUCCAAGGAAGAAGGACGAAUCCCAUGGCUCAGAUGUUGCCUUUGUUGUCAGGUUUGAGUUCUUUAAGAGAGCUAAAACUAAGGGACUGCAAUCUUUGUGAAGGAGAUCUUCCACGUGAUAUUUAUGGUCUAUCCUCUUUGUGGCCUCUUGAUCUUAGUGGUAACAAUUUCAUCAGCAUACUUGCAUCUCUUACUCGACUCUCGAAGCUCGGAAAUCUUAUAUUGUCAAAUUGCAACAUGUGCACUCUUGGUGAAGCAGAUAUUCAUGGUGAUAUUUCUGGUAUAUCCUCUUUGAUACGUUUUGAUCUUAGUGGUAAGAAUUUCAUCACCAUUCCUUUGGCUCUUACUCAACUUUCCAGGCUCAAAUUGCUUAAAUUGUCAGGUUGCAAGAUGCUUAAAUCGUUGCCUGAGCUACCAACAAGUAUAGCAGCUGUGCAUAUAGAUGGUUGUUCUUGACUUGAAGUAGUUGCAAGUCCAUCAAAAGUAUGCAAUUUAGUGGGCUGUGAUGACAUUAGUGCCAUUAACUGCUUCAAAUUGGCUGAGAAAAUCAAUGCAUUAACUCAAAGUUGGGAAUUCCGGUAAUUGCAAAAAUGGAAGUGGUGGAAAAAGAGAAAACACUACCAUCUGUGGAGUUCUUGAAUUGGAUUGGAUUCUUGUAGAAGAUGUGACCUUUUGUAUGGGUUGUAAAAUUAGUCAGUUUAAAGAGCCCACUUGAACCUACGCCCGCAAGUUCGCCAACAUUCAAGUAACCAUUGAAACUGAAGUACUGACCCUGAUUGAUAUCUGAAGAUGCAGGAGGAAAAGCAACACACGCAUGAUCAAACACACAAAAAAAUAUAUACAAUAGACAUUUAGAUAACCAAUCAGUUAGGUAAUGAGCAGCCUUGAUUUCAUAAUCAUCAAACCCAACAUUUAGAUCAUACAAAGAGAGAAAUUUUAUAAGGGUACAGUAGAACCUGUCUUUUGUUGACUGAGCUGCAGUGAAAAUGCAUUCGCAAGAACGAUCUUUUCGAUUCUAAGGAGCUCAUAGAGAAGUAUUCCACGAAUAUAUUUGAUUUUCAACCUGGAAAAAAAAAUAAUUACUACUAUAAUUAUAAUUGACAGCAAUAAAUGCACGUACACUUUUUCAACAAAUCAUAAGGCAUGGUACGAGGUAAACUCCAAUUUGAAUUCACAUCCCUUAGAACCCCUUCAAUCACCGUGACACCAAUAUUAAUGUCGGUUGUCUCAUUCGAAUUAAGCUGAACCCAACCUUCCUUGGGAUGUCACCAUUGCUUUGCAGCUCUGGAGAUCAUUGUAACAAAAAUAUUAGAAGACCCUAUGUGAGUUGAACUUUUAGCCCAAGAUAGACUAGACAUAACAACUUCCCCAUUGCUGUUACUUGCAUCUUUAAACACAAAAGCAUUACGACACUUCCAAAGACAUCAACAAAUAAUAGGAAACAAAGUCGACCAGUCUAUUCCCUCAACAUCAAUCUGCCCAAUAUUCUUUAAUUUCCAAAUAAGUUAAUCCUUAAUAUGCAAAAACCUGCUAAGAUCAUCUGGAACAAGAUUAUUCCAAACAUUAAUCUUAGCAAAAGAAAAAUCCCUCAAAACUUGUAUGGUUGCCUCAGCCUGCUCACAUCUUGAGUAACUAGUGUCAGCUGUCACAUGUCAUCAAGCUCUCUCCUCAUUCGCUAACAAAUGUCCCUUAAAAUGAAUUCAAAGAAAAUGUCUUAUUCAUUGAAGACCUUUGCAUUUCCUGACCAUAUUCCAAUCCUCACUUGCCACAUCCCAUUCAUCUCUUGCAACUGAUCUGUAAGUUGUUGCCUCUCAGGAUGUUGGAGUUCGACAAGGACCCAUUGAGGUUCGACCAGAACCUAGGUAUACCCCCACCUUAUAAAACAAUGACAAUCCUUGUAUGUAAUUGUAGAGUGGUGAAGCAUGAUGUACUGUAAUUUGAAAUGUUAAAUUAGGCUUUCCUGUAACAAGCUUGUUCUCAAGUAGUUUAAGAGUAUUUUUAUGUUUUUUUAUCGAUUUUUAACUUUUAGUUUCAAUGCUAACUUUUAUCACAUUUUAUCACUUUUGAAACCCAAAUUGAUAAAACUAUGUCAUUAGAGGUCUAAUGAUUAAUUUGAGCUUGUAUAAGGAGGUGAUUGAGGCUAAACAUCAAGGAGGAAUUCAACUGUUGCGGAGGACGCAACACAAGUGAUUCACAGAGUUUAGAAUUUGAUUUAAAAGAAUUUGGAUGCGUAGAAGAGUAUACGGAAAAAGACAAAUGAAUCAUAUAAUUUUGUUGUUACAGAUUUAAGGCAUGUUCUAAAAACUCUAAAAUUUUUAUUCAAAGUUUUAUAAUGUAGUGAUUAAACAAAGCAUGGAUUAAUUGUAUUUUAAUUAAAUUGUUUUUAAAAAUUAAAUUGUUUUUUAGAUCCUAAUGGAAUUUUUAUUUUUUAUAUUGAAGUCCUUACUAUGUAGAUUUCAAUUGAUUCAAUCUGUUCCUUAAUUUAACAUUCCAAAAUGAAUAGUCGUAUGAAUUUUUAUUUUUCAUAGCUCUACACUAAAGUUUUAAAAAUUUUGCCUUAUAUUAUCACUAAUAGUCGUAGCAAUUUAAAGAAAAUGAAUAUUUUUUAAAAUUUUCCCUAAUAUUAAUUAUAAAAACUAUAAAAAAUAAAAUAAUACAUUUUAAUUAAUACAAACAAUCAACCCGAGCAUCACAUGUAUAAAGAAAACAAGAUGCAUAAUAAAACAUUUAAUUUACCACUCAACUAAAGUUUUAUCUUGAUAACUCUAAACAUUUUAAUUUUAUUAUACACACCUACCUCCAUCAAUUGUAUAUAUCUAUAUAUUAUAAUUUAAGCUCCUGAUUGAGUUGAGCAACAAUUUAGCUAAAAAAAUUAUAAAAAUAUCAUUCUGUAAUUAAAUAAGUUAUCGAGAAUAUUUUAAUCUUUUUAUUUAAAAAUAAUAAAAAUAUGCAUAAAAUAAUUUUUUAAAGUGAGCUUCCUUUCCAAAAUAUAAAUGAGACCUAUCAGUUAUUAUUAUGUAAAUAACACUAUAUUUGAAUUCAUUAUUUAAAUAUCAAUAAUUGAUAUUUAAAUAAUGAUUAAUAUACAAUAUUCGUCAUUGUUGACGUUAAACACCAAUAGUACAUGUAAUUAAGAAAUUAACAUAUGAAGGACUUCGGACAACCAUGCUUUAUAUUGUAAUAAAAAUAGAAAGGUUAUGCAUGUGACCACCUUUCUAUUUAAAUUGGAGCGAAACUUUUGAUGAGCUGUUCAUAUCAGAAUUAAAUAUGUCAAAAUAAUCCAAUAAGGUUAAAUAAAAAUUAAAUCUUUUUGAAUACCGUAUAUAAAAUUAUAUUUUUAUCAAUUAAAUUUUAAUUUUUAAAUAAAAUCUUUAAAUAUUAUUAUGCCACGUAUUCAAAUAUAAUAAAAAUUUAUUAAUAAUGUAAAUUGAGUUAAGAGAUAAAAGAAUAUAGAGAUUGUGCUGGAAAUGAAAACCCAAAUUACAUAAUGAGAAGGAAAGAUGGAACUAUCAAAUUCCUUAUUAUUUAUAGGAAAUUAGGGAGAAUAAGGAAAAGAAAUUGAUUCAUGAAGAGAUAAGGAGAUUGGCGUGGCAUUGGUGACUUACAUGCAUGUCCCUAUUGCCUAUUCAACAUUAGAUUCCUUUAGCUACUAUUCUCCUAAUGCAAACAAUGAAGUCCCCAGCGAUAACAGACAAUUCUACAUCAAUGCAUGCGCCCGUUUUCUUCCCCUUCGCCUAAUUUCCCCUUCCAAUUUCCAUCGCAUGCAUGCUCUUUCAUUUUAUCUUCAAACUUCUUAUCUCCUUAUCUCUUCAUGAAUCAAACUUUUUAUUAUAUUUGAAUACGUGGCAUUAUAAUAUUUAAAGAUUUUAUUUGAAAAUUAAAAUUUAAUUGAUAAAAACAUAAUUUUAUAUAGGGUAUUUAAAAAGAUUUAAUUUUUAUUUAACCUUAUUUGAUUAUUUUGACAUAUUUAAUUCUGAUAUGAACAACUCAUCAAAAAUUUCGCUCUAAUUUAAAUAUUUAUCUAAAGAUUAUUUACAAUAUAAAACAUACAUCAACUACUUUUUUAUUCGAUUAAGCUUUUUAAUUUGUUAUGCAUGUGACCACCUUUCUAUUUUUAUUACAAUAUAAAACAUUAUAAAAAUCUUAAAAUAAAAAGGAAAAACCCUAUUAUACAAAACCCUAUUACUCGAUUCGGAAGGCUUUAAAAUAUAUUCCUAAAUGACAUUGGCAUGAACAGCCACAGUAUGCUACUUAUGAUGCUUAAAUAUAUAUACAAAACCCUAUUACUCGAUUCGGAAGGCUUUAAAAUUUUAUUUAAUUUUACAAUCAUAAUUUUUAAAGAAAAACCCGAUACUUUUCCACUUCACCUACCGCGAGAAACAAAUGUUUCUGUAAUUGUUAUUGAAGGAACGGUGUUUCUCUCGGCUGUCAACUCAUUAGGAGCGCCCACUUCAUUUGAUACUGCUGGGAAUUCUCGAACUUUGAUAACAGAGCUGAUGUCAUCGGGCAAUGAAGCAACACCGUCCAAAUACGAUAUAACGCUGGACAUGCUAGGCCUAGCCGCUGUCACCGGGUGUGAGCAAAGCAACCCAAGCUUCAACACCAACUCCGCUUGUUGUCCCACAAAUGAUCUCUUCCCCAACCUCUUAUCAAUAGUCGCCAAAAUGUCUCCUUUAUCCCAGCAAUCCUUUAUCCAGUCAGCAAGAAAUGCUUCCUCUGGUGCCGUUUGUGGUUCGAUCGGCUUUCUACCACAGGCAACUUCAAGCAUGAAUAUUCCAAAAGCAUAUAUAUCAGUGCUUGUGUUUGCUUGCCCGGUUCUUGCGAGCUCAGGAGCCAUGUAACCGAGCGUGCCUGCUACAUGAGAGGUUUGAGGAUCAUUUCCAAGGUCGCAUAGCUUUGCCAUCCCGAAAUCUCCUAGUCGGGCGUUCAUUUCACUGUCUAUCAGCACAUUGGCAGGCUUGAUAUCUCUGUGAAUGAUGACUUGCACCCAUUGCUGGUGCAGAUACAACAACGCGGAAGCUACGUCCUUGAUGAUCUUAAACCUUUGUGUCCAAUUAAGGCUGCUAUUAGGUUGGUAGUAAAGAAACUUGUCAAGGCUUCCAUUAGGCAUGUAGUCAUAAACCAAAAGCAACUCGUGCUUGCGCUUGCAAUAACCGAGAAGUCGAACCAAAUUCGGAUGCCUGAGGUGACCGAUGGUUGCAAUCUCAGCCACGAAUUCUCUCAUACCUUGCCUUGAAUCAUGAGAGAUCCUUUUAACGGCAAUUUGUAUGUUGGAAGAGGGUAAAACACCCUUAUGCACCUUACCAAAUCCACCUCUCCCUAGAACUUCCUUUUCUUUAAACCCCUUUGUUGCUUUGAAUAGAUCUUUAUAUGAGAAUCUAUGAGGCCGUACUGAACCUCCCAAUCCUCGAGAAUCUCCAUGAAUCUCUUCUUCCUUGAGAUCAACACAAACCCGAAAAUCAAUACGAGGACUAAAGUGAGACCUGUGAAAGAAAGGGUGAUAGCCAAAAUCUUCUUUAAUUGCUUGAUUCCUCCGUUAUCAUGUCGUGGAAUCUUUGGAAGGCGAGACAAGUCUAGCUCAUCAGGUGAGCCAUUCAUCUUGAAACUCCAAGCCAAUAUGUAGUGUGAGGAUGAAGUAGCUGAAACAGAACCGGUGGACGACGAGAAGCCGACAUACAUAGAGUCAUACAUAUAAGGAGACAGAUCCUUUUUGUAGGAUAUAAGUGGGGUUUUUGGCCUUGGUAGAUUGAUGGGAUACAACGUAACAUUGAGUCGCUUCUCAACCCCGUUGUAUUCUAUCCAUAUUUGCAUUGGGUCUCCGCUUACAAGGCUGACAUUGAUGAACUCACCUUCAUCAGUGUAAUACCCCGCAGAAGCAGAUUUCACCGAGUUUACGCUAUUGAUAUCGAUGCCAACAUGGUUGUCAUCACUGUCAUUGAGGUCAAAGCUUUGAACUGUAUCCAGCUCAACCGCAACAAUAUGAUUUGAGCUGUCACCGUUAUUUGUUUCAUUGAAAAGACCAAGAUACUGGACGGCAGAAGCUGCGGGAAUUUCAUUGUUUGGCGAGAUUACAAAGGCCAUUCCAUGGCCGCCGUAUUCCGGUCUAAUUGCAAAAAUGAAUGUGGUAGAAAAGGAGAAAACACUACCAUUUUUGGAGUUCUUGAAUUGGAUUGGAUUCUCGUAGAAUUUGUGACCUUUUAUUAGGCUUGUAGAGUUAGUCAGUUGAAGCAGCCCAUAGCAACUAAACUGACCCUGGUUGAUAUCUGACGAUGCAAGGUUCAGAAGGAAAAGCAGGAGCACAAGCAUGAUCAAACAAGACAUUAUUACACACAAAAUUACAGCAAUAGUGAUUAAGGGCUGUAGUAAGUUUUGUUGUGUAAGCAAGUUAUUCUGCACCAUCAGUCCAAUAUAAAUAAAAAGAAACCAAAACACCAUUGUCUUAAUCGAUUUGAUUAAGACCUCAAAGAAAUUUCCGGAAUUUUACCUGUCAGUAGUAAGGAAAUUGCUCUCCUUUAAAGACGAUAAGAUGAGAUUAUUUGGUAAAGGUGAUGAUAUCUUCUGAUAAUGAAACACUUGACAAUUCUUUACCUCUAAUAUAUGUAUUUAAAAAAUUAAUGAUUAUAAUUCUUGCUUUCCUUUCCUUUCAAUAAAAAACUUGAAACGCAAUGAAAUUUACCAUUUCAGUAAAAAAAAUCAUUUAAUUCUUGCUUUCCUUCACCCUAUUUAGAUAAUUAACUGUUUUUCUACAAUUUUAGUUAAAACAAUAAAAAAUUACUUACAAACAAUGUUUAAGAUACUAAGCGUGCAAAGAAUUUGUCAUAUAUGAUAGUAACAUAUUUGACUUUUACUUGCAAACCAUUACACUAGUAUUUAGUAAACACACUGUCAAUCAUGAGCCCAGGAUUUCCACACUUAUAUUAAUUUAUUAAUUGAUAAUUCUGUAAUUUCAUUUAAUUUAAACCAUAAUUACUAAAAGGUGAUUAAAAAUAUACUGGCUUGUAUAUCAGAUCAUAAUAUAAAAACUUAAAUGAAUCUCAAGACUAUUUACACUCAAUCACUUCAUUAUUGUACACAUUACUAAUUAACAUUACCUCCUUUUAAUUAAAUUCUGACCAAACUAUUUCACCCAAUUACUUGCAUUUGAUUUAACGUAACGUCGUGGAACCAAAUUCAACUCAUAAUUGAAAAGGGUAUUGAUCAAGAAUCAAUUUUAAGGUGAAAGUAUUGACCUCAAUAUUACUAGUAAAAAAAUUAACACAUGUAAUAAUUGGAUCAACAUUGUUAAAUAAUUAUAUAUCGCCUUAAAAUUAUACACUAAAUUGGAGUAUUGUUAUUUAAAAAUAAAUUUAAAAUACUCAAAAAAAAUAAUGUUGGCCAUAAAUCCAUUUAAAAAUUUAACAGUCAAAUAGACAAAAUAUUUCGCUUCAUAACUUGUAUCUUAAUUAACUUGUCACGUCCGGUUAACAUUAUUAAAUCAAAGAAAUACAAGGAUUUAUUAACAUAAAUUAUAAGGUUAAAUUAAAGUUUAAAGGUUCACUUAAAAUAUGAAAGGGAUUAGAUAAUACCAUAAGGCUCCAAAAUGAGUUUGCAAAUAUUAGAACCAUUUAAAAUAUGGACCAAGUUUGAACUCCAAUAUUUAAAGUCAAAGCUUAGCUCAACCCGCAUUAUACUUUUUGUAAUAUAUUUUUAUUUUAAUUUUCACAUAUUAUGCAAUUUAUAUCACAUAAAAUAGAAUAUAUAGUAAUAUAAAUACUAUGUAAAUAUUAAAAAUAUAUAUUAAAUUGUUUAUAUUUUAAUUUUAAUAAAAAACUAAAAUAUUAAUUUAAUUUAAAACAUUUUAAUAUAUAUAUACACACUAAUCUAAACGAAUUUAAAUUAAUUAGUUACAAAUAUAAAUAAAUUUAGAUAAAACUAUAGUUCUAUAUUUAAGUCAAAUUGAGGUACGGCGGACAAAAUAUAUUAAUAUUAUGUAUAAAUUUCAUCUGAACCAAUUUCACUAGGUCUAUAAGCACUAAAUUGAAUAAAUAUUAUUCCAAAAAGGUUAUUUAAUAAUUACUGGGCUUCUAGUUACUGAAAAGCGAGUUCAAUAGUAGGUAAUGGUAUUUCUAUUUCACUUUGGAAGUAGAUUUUUAUAAAAAUAAUCUUAAAAAUUAAUUAAUUAUAAAAAUGAGUUAGGAAAACAAAUAUAUACGAAUAUGAGUUAUAGUAUUUCUCAGUACAACUUGACACACCAAUGAAACUACUCGCAUUUUUCCCCUAAUCAUCAGUGUUUAAAAAAAAGAUUUUUUUUUUGUGUCAACAUUGUGUCAGGCAAUAUCGUAUAUAUUUUUUAAAAUAUUAGUGAAAAAUAUGAGUAUUCACAAUGAAGAAAAAAUACUUUUAUAAUGUAUGUCACCGUUAAUUAGACAGUACCAGUUAAAACUUUUUUUAAAAGAUCUAUAUUUUCAAAUAUGCACAAAAAAAAAAGAGAAAUAUUUUUUUAUUGAUGUUGGACAUCAUCUUAAUUUUAAAAAGUUGACAAAAUAAAUAAAAAAAUCUGCUAUAAAAAGAAAAUUUUAUUGUCUUGUCCAAGAGAAUGGUUCCAAAGCAUGCCUAGUUGCUUAGUUCUAACGGUUAUUUUACUCAAAUGACCCUAAAAAAUAAUUAUUUACGUAAAUGAUUUUAAUUAAAAAAUAAUCAUUUAAAUGACUUAAAAUAAAUAGUAAAAUUGGGUUAGGGGUAAUAAAUUGUCGAGAUCACCUAUUUUUAUGACACAAUCAUUACCGAAUGAUUGUGUCAAGUGUUAAAAAAGAUUUAAAUACUGAAGACUAGAUGAUUGACACCCUUAUAUUUUUUUCAUUUCGCAUCAUACUGGUAUACGUUUAUACCAAUAUUUAAAAAAAGAAUUAUUUUUUUAAAUAUUGGCACACUGAUGGUCGGCACACCUCUUUAUCAGAUUAAAAAAAUAUUUUUAUUGAGUGUUGGCACAUUGAUGACCAGCAUCCCAUUUAUCUGAUUAAAAAGAAAUUUAUGUUUAUCCCUAGACCAAUAGAAGCAUGAAAGUCUACUCAAAGGAUCAUGCAAGUGAGGGACCAACAAAAGUCAUCAAGUUGAAAUGGAAGGGGACGCUUUAGCAAUUAUAGGCUCGGAUGAAUUUAGGGAAUUAGGAUUUUGAGAAAGAAAUUAUGUUAUUAUAUAAUUAGUUGUUUUUUACAUGUAACAUAAAUUAGGCAAGGUUCUUAGCGUUUAUAAAAUUUGACAAUUUAAUCCUUAUUUUCUUUACAGUGAGAAUGUUAUAACCUUAAAAAAAAUCUGAAAUAUUGAGAUUCAAAUAAUUGAUAGGUUUAAAUGUUUUUAAAGACGAUUGGACGAAAUAAUUAGAUCUCAAAUUAUAUUUCGAAUUGAAAUUGUUCAUUUAAUACAUAAUAAUAGAAUGAAUUGUAAUUAAAGUAUUCCUCUACUAGGAAUGUAUAAAAGUCUAUUCAAGCCAAUUUAUGUGUCCGAAACUGAUGUACUCCCUUUAUAAGGUGUUCAAGCCAACGUAAGUGUUAAAUAUAGGUACUUAGGGAAAAUGGAUAGAGGUGAUCAUGGCCGGGCCAGGCCCAGAUAAAAUUUUAGGCCAAUUUUCUAGGCCCAACCCAAAAUAUGAGCCUAAAAAUUUGUCCAAGCCCUGCCUAAAAGAAAAUUAUUAAGCCCGAGCCCAGCCCGGCCCAUAUUAAAUUUUACAACACCAAAAUAGCAUCAAAAACCUGAAAAAUAUAAUCAAUCAACCAGAAUUAGAGGUAUAUUUGAUUAAAAAUAAAAAAUAUAUAUUUAAUAUACUUUGGGCCGGGCCGGGCCUGGGCCAAAAAAGUUUUGCCCGAGCCCGGUCCGUUUUUUAUACGGGACUAUUUUUUUGCCCAAACCCAUAUUUCGGGCCUAUAUUUUUACCCGAACCCUCCCUUUUUCAGGAGGGCCAUCAGGCCGAGCCGGAUAACUCAACCCAUGAUCACCUCUAAAAAUGAAUGAGUUGGUGUAAUAUAGGCUAUGAUAUAAUAGGCUAUGAUAUAACCAACAUUCAUGCAAAAUCGAGAAAGAAAUGAAUAAGAUUAUCGUAUGAAAAAUAAAAUAGAAAGGCUAAAAUCACAUGCAAAAUUUUUUCAAGCUCAAGUGUUCUAGCAUAAAAAAACAAUAUAUAAAAUAGAUGCCUAAACAAAGUAGAACACGGGUGAUUACAUCACAAUCUGCAAACAUUGAAUCAACGGGCAUUACCGAGCUUAGUGGAAGAAAAUGUUGGGAAAAUGAAAUACAGAUGCGAUCCUAAGCAACAAAUACAGCUUUGCAUUGCAUGAGAACCUAAUCCCAUCACCAAACUAUUUUAAAUGCGAUUUUCUACACGCAACACAGUGCAGGCAGCAUAUUUGAGAGCAAAAAACCUGACAAAAAGAAGUCAACAAUUUUAAUUUAUAAAAGAAUCAGAGGUUAAUUUUCGAUGUAAAAGAGAACAGACCUGAGCCAGAAAUAUUUGUAAAUAGCGACUUACUUAGUGACAUGCUUUUAACUGGAUCAUAAUGAAAGAUCACUUUUUUCUUCAUUUUCCUUGGAGGAUAAAUGUGAACCCAAGAAUUUAGUAACAGCAGAUUGCUCGGAUGAAGAAUGCGAUGAGCUUGAGAUAUAUUUUCUAGGUAACUUUAGUUUUAAGACGAAGAAGUGUGGUGUUAGAAUAGUGUAUGUGAAAGAUUUGGAAGAAAUAAAAGAGAUGCAUAGCCAUGCCACUCAUUAUUAUGCUAAUUUCGAAGAUAUCUAUCAACACUCUGCUGAUAGCGAUGGAUCAAUACAUAGUACUUCCCUUUCAGUACGAAAACAUAAUACCAACGAUUAAUUUUUACUCAAUUCGAAUAAUAAGAGUUCUCAACUUGAUUAAUUUUUUUUUACUCAAUUCGACUAGAUUCAAUUGAAUUCUCAUCCCUACGCAAGCAAAGGUUUUAUGAGCCGAGCAAUGUUAAGUCUAUAUGUGAUACUAGCACAUUUUAUAUUUACUCAAGCUAGGUUCAGUCCAAUACAAGCUUCAAAUUUUAUCAAGUCCAUCCAAAUUUGUAAAUGGUUAAUUUAAAUCCAUUUUAAGCUUGUUUAUAUAUUUUUUUUAAAAAUACUUAUUUAAUAUUUAAUAAUCUUAUUUUUUUUUUCUUUUACGAGAACUUUAAACAUCAACAACUGUUAAGACCAAGGCUGUCCAAGCAUUGAAGACUCAAUGUCUGAUCAGUCCAGAUGUUGGGACAGGUUUAGUGUUUUAUUGACUUAUUAGAAUUUUUUUGAACCUUGUACUUUUAUCCAAAUCUUCCCAUAUUUAGAUUGAGCCUUUAAGAUUAAACAAGUAAACUGACCCUUAAAUAAGUUUAUUUCCAAAUUAAUCAUAAUGUUGGAUUUUAACUUUGAGAUAUAACUCCACUGAGUAAAAAAAAAAGUGAACAAGUCACACAAAACUAUUGGUCAAAUGAUAAAAGAUUUGAUGCAAAGUCUUUAAUUAACACUAGUCUCGAGUAAAUGUACAAAAAAAUCAGGUCAGAUUUAAGCCUAUGUAAAGUAUUAGCAGAACUUAUGCUUGCUCAAAUAUUAAACACAAAAUAAUUCAAGUCACGUUUAUAUUUUAAAUGAGACUGUUUUUAUUUAAACCUUUUAAAAAAAAUUAAAUAUAUUUUAUAUGUAGAUCCAUAUAAUAUAUAAAAACAACUCCUAUAAAAGCAUUAGGGAAAUAAAUAGUACGAUAACAUAUUUUAUUCUGAGGCAUGUUUUAAAAACUAAAAAUUUUAUUAAGUGUUUUAAAAUUUGGCGAUUAAAUAUAACAUGGAAUGGUUGCAUUUUAAUUAAUCAAUAAAAAUAUGUAUAAAAUGAGAUUUGAAUCUUCGUCAAUUAGGUUAGUAAAACAUAAAAUUGAUCACUUCACCAAAGCUUUAUUUUAAUAUUUAUUACAUAUUUUAGUUUUAUUAUACACAUUUUAUUACUUUCAUCAAUCGUAUAUAUUUAUACUAUUAUUUAAUCUUCUAAUUAAGUUGGUGCCACAAGUAAAUUGGGCACCAACUCAAUUAGAAAAUUACAAAAAUGUCCUUUCAUAAUUAAAAUAAAUUAAAUUAUUUGAGAGUACUUUAGUCUUUUUACUUAAAAAAACAAUAAAAACAUGCUUAUGGUGGGAUUUGAUUUAAAGAUACGUUAAUUGCAUUAGUAAAAAUUUUAAUUUACCACUCAACUAAAAUUUUAUUUUGAUAUUCUUAUAUAUUUCAACUUUAUUAUCCAUACGUUAUUACUUCUAUCAAUUAUUUAAAUUUUUUAUUAAAAUUAUGUCAUGAAUCAAUCCAACAACCACACCAAGAAGCGAAAUGUGCUAAAGCAUAAUAGAAUUAUGGAUUUUGUUCAAAAGGAAUUUUAAUUAUUACAUUUGGGAUAUAAAAAAUUGAUAAUGAAUUUGCCAAGUACCCCAAAUUCAGUUUUCUUUUUCCAUUUGAUGCACAAACAAAAACUCUGAAUUUGCACAUAUAAAUCCAAAUUAUUUUAUUCAAAUUCAUGUUCAGAAAAGUCGUGAUAUUAUUGUGGAAUAUUCAAUGAACCUUAGCAACAAAAAUUGAAUUCCACAGUGACUUCGUUUUCAGUGGAAAAUUCAAACAUACUAUCUAUAAUGGCCUUUCCACAAUAUAAAUGAGAUUAGAUAGAAUUCAAAAUAUAAACUUAACCUUGUUUGCCAACAUGAUAUACUUCUCCAUUUCAAAGUCUUCCCAGUCUUCGUGAUAGAAAUUAUUAAUUAAAUUAUGGGUAAAUUUUUGCGUACGUUGUUAUUGAACAAAACCCCAUUCGAUACUUGUUAUAUCAAACGGUUCAUGAUCCAAUCUAAAUUUUAAAGUUGAAAUAUUAUUUCCAAUAAAAUUCGUAAAAACAUAAGAUUGGAGAAAAUAUUCAGAAAAUGAUUUUUGAAAUUGAAUUAUCUGUUGGUUACAGAUAGUUCUAUUGAUUUUGUUGAAUAUUUCUACUGGUAAAAUCUGUUUAGAUUUGUUAUAUAAACAAAUUCUAAAUAUUUUAUUCAUAAUAGGGGUAUUUUUCCCUUUGUAAAUAAAAUAUUGGAAAAUAUCAAGAAAAUUGUUUAUCUCCUUAAUUUCCAUGAAUUCCAUUUGGAAUUCAUCCCAUUCUCUGUAUAAAAUAGAAUUUAAUAAUAAAUCUUUAGCUUCAUUUUCCUUAGUUGUUUUUUCAACUAAAAAUAAUGAAAAUCUGGUAAGAGCUCUUCGGAAAUUAGCUCUCUGAUUUGAAAUAUGGGUUUUCCAUAUCUCGUUUAUAAAAUCAUAAAAUUCUGGUGAUAAACCAGGAUUAUAAAAAUCUUUUAUUUUUAAAAUUUCUUUUUCAUCUUCUAUUUGUUGUUCUUUCAACAAAUUUUCGGAUCUUUUGAUCAUAUCAGCAUAAUUGGUUUGUGAUGCUAAAUAUGGAUCUUGGGACAUUGGUGAUUGAUACACCAUGUUAGAAAAACUGCUUCCAAGUGGUUGGUUUACCAUUGGAUAUUUUAAAACAUUUGGUCCAAGUGGUUGAUUUACCAUUGGAUAAGACACAUAAUAUCCUUGGUUAGGAUAAAAUGGUAUUUGUGCAGGUACAAAUCCUUUUUUGGAGUUUGAUUCUGCUUUUCCUUUGUUGGGCUUUUUGCGAACGGUAGUCGAUUCACCUACAGUUUCUUGUAGAGGCUUUUUACCUCUAUCCAUUAAAAGGCCUGCUCAAAAAAUCAGCAAAUAUUAGUAAUAAAUUACAAAUAUUAACUGAUUAAUUUUAAUAGGUGUAAAUAUUUUAUUACACACAAUUUUAUUAUUUUCUUCAAGUGGAAUUUCCACAAAAUCUUCUUUUACUGAUAGCCAAAUAGAAUGUUUAUCAAUAGUAAAAGGUAAGUACUUACAAAUAAAAUUAUUACCUAAUAAUAUAUCUCCUUUCAUGUUAGGAAAACAUACUAUUUUAGGAAUCACAAAUCUAACAUUGUUUAUAUAGAUUGAUAUAUUUUUAGCUUUAUAUUUUAUAAUAGUUUUACUACCUUCUAUUCCCAUUAUUUUUAUGGGUUUCUUCAUUAAUUCGCAUUUUUCUACAGGAAUCGCAUUUUCUCUACAACUACAUAUUGUAGCUCCAGUAUCUAUCAAGGCAUUUAGAGAAUAUUUUUUAUAUUUUUUAAACUGAAAUGUAACUUUUAUAAUUAUUCCAAGUUUUGACUUUUUAUCAAUUGUUGAAGUUUGAAUUUCUUCCAUUCUAGUUUUUCUAGAAUUAUUACUAGGUUCAGUAGGAAAUAUAGGAAUUUGAACUGUAACAGGUUUCCACCCUGCAAUUAAAGACAUUUCAAAGUCUUCCCAGUCUACGUGAUAGAAAUUAUUAAUUAAAUUAUGGGUAAAUUUUUGCCUACAUUGUUAUUGAACUAUAAAUUAAUUUUUAUUCAAGGUAUUAGAUUGUUAAGUUUUUCCUUUUUAAAGUUCCACCAAUAAGUUUCAAGUGACAAUUCGAUAAUCGGUAUGAUAGAUGAACACUCAUCAACGAGUAAAAUAACACACCUUAUAUUUAAAUCGGUCUAAUAGUCAGUGUCGAAGAUCGAAGAAAAAAUUUUGUUUGAAUUUUGGUUUACAGAUUCAUGUCCAAAGUUGUUUCAUAAAAAAAAAUUGAAUUAUGUAAGAGAAGGGGAAAGAAAACUUUCGAUUGGUGUUAAUAGUGUGAAUAGAGAAAGUCAUAUAGCAUUGAUUUUAAUACCAAUGAAUUAAAAGAGAACUUUUAAAUAGUUCAAUGACCAAAUUGUAAUUUUUUUAGUUAAGUGACCAAAAAGAAAACUUACCCAUAAUUUAGUGACUAAUGAUAUAGUUUACCUAAAAUUUUCAUGGUAGGAAAUACGAAAAUUUUCAAAAUUUCUCCACUUUUAUUUCAUUUAGAACACAUGGUCUCUCUCACUAUAAGAUAAGAAACCUAAACUUCAAAAAAAAAUUUAUUUAAUUCUAAUAUGUAUUUUAAAAUUUAUUUUAUUAAAACCAUUAAUAGUUUUUUUUCUAAAAAUACAAUGAUAUUCAUAAUUAAUAUUUUAUAUUAUUUAUUUUUAAUAUAAUUAUUCUUUUUUAUAAUUAAUUUUUUAAACUAUAAAAUGCUAGCAACUAACUUUUUUUCUAAAUAAAUUAUUUAUCCAAACAAAAUAUUUACGAAUACUACCAUUUUGAAUUUAUAUGAAUUCUAAAAUGCUAGCAUUUUAAAUAUAUAAAAAAUUUAAUAUUCUUCAUCCAAAUACACUUUAAAUAUUUUAAUAAAAAAACACAAGUUCAUCUUGACCUAUUGGAUUUUAAAAAUAAAACUAAAUAUUAUAUAAAACUUGAAAUAUAAAAAUUAAUAAAUUCAAAAAAUUAAUUAUCCAUUUCAAAAAAUAUAUAAAAAAUGAAAAUUAUUACAAAAUUUAAAUGUUUCAGAAAAAUACAAUAAAUUAUAAAUAUUUGAAAAAUUAUUAAAAGUUUAAAAAUGUUAAAAUAAAAAUACAUGCAAUAGUAAUAAAAUGCUCUAAAAAAUUAAAACAAUUAUAAAAAGUAAAUAAAAAUUUCAAAAUUUUGAAAAUCACAAAAAAACUGUAUAAAACCCUAUUAGCAUGGUCGGCCACACUAUGCUACUUAUGAUGCUUAAAUAUAUACAAAAUCCUAGUAGCAUUAACUUAUUGUAAACAGUGGGGUACAAACCCUACUACUCUAUUUGGAAGCCUUUAAAACUUUAUUUAAUUUUACAAUCAUAAUUCUUAAUGAAAAACCCUAUAUUUUUCCACUUCACCUACCGUGAGAAACAAAUGCUUAUGUAAUUGUUAAUGAAGGAACGAUGUUUCUCUUCGGCUAGUGUCAACUCAUUAGGAGUGUCCACUUCAUUUGAUCCUGCUGGGAAUUCUCCGGCUUUGAUAACAGAGCUCAAGUCAUCGGGCAAUGAAGCAACACCGUCCAAAUACGAUAUAACGCUGGACAUGCUAGGCCUAGCCGCUGCCACCGGGUAUGAGCAAAGCAACCCAAGCUUCAACACCAACUCCGCUUGUUGUUCCACAAAUCUCUUCUCCAAACUCUUAUCAAUAGUCGCCAAAAUGUCUCCUUUAUCCCAGCAAUCCUUUAUCCAGUCAGCAAGAAAUGCUUCCUCUGGUGGCGCUCGUGGUUCGAUCGGCUUUCCACCACAUGCAACUUCAAGCAUGAAUGCUCCAAAUGCAUAUAUAUAUAUAUAUAUAUAUAUAUAUAUAUAUAUAUAUAUAUAUAUAUANNNNNNNNNNNNNNNNNNNNNNNNNNNNNNNNNNNNNNNNNNNNNNNNNNNNNNNNNNNNNNNNNNNNNNNNNNNNNNNNNNNNNNNNNNNNNNNNNNNNCCUGCUACGUACAUGCGAGCCAUGAACAUUCAUCAUGUUCUCUUGGCUUGCAUAUUGAAAUGCAAAAUUUAGAAACGUCUGUACUCCAUUUCGAUAACCGUUGCUUACCCUUGACAAAUUCAUCCAAGACCGGUCCAUUUCUUAAUUAUUGAAGUCUGACCUUGACAAUAAUUUGCACGGGUAAGUUAAAACGCCAGAUAUAACUAUAAAUGAGUUAUGUAAGUUAUGAUAUGAUAUAUUUUUAUGUAUUAUGUACUAAGUUAUGUAAGUUGUGUAUUAUGUGAGUUAUGUGAGUUAUGUAAGUUAUUUAAUAUAUGUAAGUUAUGUAAGUUAUGUAGGCUAUGUAUUAUCUAAAUAAUGUAAGUUAGGGAGGUUAUGUAUUAUGUAAGUUAUUUAAGUUAUGUAAGUUAUUUAAUUUAUGUAAGUUAUGUAAGUUAUGUAAGUUAUGUAAGUUAUUUAAUUUAUGUAAGUUAUUUAGAAAAAAUUAUGUAAGUUAUGUACUAAGUUAUGUAUUAUGUAAAUAAUGUAAGUUAGGAAGGUUAUUUAAGUUAUGUAUUAUGUAAGUUUAUAUAUAAGUUAUGAUAUAUAUUAUUGAUAAAUUUAAGUUAUAUAUUGUAUGUUAUUUAAGUUAUGUAUUAUGUAAGUUUAUAUAUAAGUUAUGAUAUAUAUUAUUGAUAAAUUUGAGUUAUGUAAGUUUUGAUAUGAUCGAUAAAUUUUGAAAAAAUUAUAGAUUUUAAAAAUAUAUAUAUUAAAAAUGUACAUACCAAUAUUUAUAAGUUAUGUAGGUUAUAUAUUUAAAAAUUUGGUUAUAUAAAUAUUUAUAAUUGUUUUUAAAAUUUAAAAAUUGUUUACUAAUAAAUUUGAAAUAUAGGUUAUAUAUCCAAUUUACAUUUAUUCGAUAAAUUAUAAUAUUUAUUAUUAAUAAAAUUGGAAUAUAGGUUAUAUGUUAUAUAUUAAUAUAUAUUAAUAAAAUUAUAUGUCCAUAUUAAUAUAUGUUAUAUAUUAAAAAGAUUUUGUCUUAUAAUAUAUGAGUAAUAUUUGUGUCCCAAAUUGAUUGUGUUUUCUGCACGAAAGGUUGCGUACAUGGUUCAAAUUCAAGUAAAGGAAAAUAUUUUCAGCAAAGAAAACCGAACACAUGAAGUACAAUUUGAGAUUUAAGCAAAGACUAAAUUCAGUAUCCGUACAUGGUUGAUUUAGCAGCAAAAAACAAUAAAAUGUACCAUCUUAGCAGCAAAAACAGAUGAGACAUUUAAAUUAUGUUUUGUAAACUUAUGAAUUAUUUAAUCAUUUGAAAUAUAUAAUUACAACGAACAAAAAUCAAAUCUGAACAUGAAACAAAUUUACAUGAACUAAAAACUUUAAAUCAAUUCAGUUCACAAUUGCAAUUAUAUUUGAUUUCAAUUUGGAUCUUUACAAACCAUGAGAAUACUGUAUAAUAUUUGCAAUUAUAUUCCAUAACCGAAAUUAAUUCAAACACUUAGGAGAAAGAUGGAGCAAAAAACAUCUUGAAGACCAGAACAAUAACCAGAAAUAAAUACAAUAAGCAACAACAUUAACCACAACGUGCAGCAAAAAAAGAACUUGCAACAACAUUAACCCCUAACAUUAACCAGCAACAUUAAGCAGAACUUCCAGCAAAAAAGAACUUGCAGCAGCAUUAACCAAAUACCAAAUUAAAACAGUCCCAACUACAAAUAUAUCAAAUAUAAAAACAGGCCAAAAUCACAUGUAAAUUUAUAAAACGAAAAAACAAAUAAAAUAAAGGAUAAACUAACCUUCUGGUUGUAACAACCCUAUACCAGUCUAAUCGUACAGAUCCAGUAUAAGGCUAUUACAUUUGGUGCCAAAACAGUCAUAGCUAGAUAUUGUUUAAUUAAAUCAAUUAUACAUAGUACUUUAACUUACCAACCAUAUUUGCAAACAUACGUAUAGUUUCACUAAUCCAUUUCAUAUAUAUAUACCAAAAUAUUUCAAGUACCUCAAAUUAGAUAGAAAUUCAAGAGUUUACAUUUUAGUUCCUAAUAUGUGGAAAUAUAACUGACUGCCUAUGUACAUGCCAUUUUAAUUCAAAAUAUGGUACCUACUUUUGAAACUCUUGAGGAUGUGAUGAGAUGAGAGAUCUUCUAUCCUGACUUUAUCUCUUCAAGUCAAACUGUACCUACGCGUUAAAAUUAAACGCGUUAAGCCGGUGAAGACUUAGUAAGCACUACAAGAAUAAACAAAUAAAUAAAUGUAAAUAAAAUAUUUCGAACUCAUUCUGUUGUUGCGUAUUUACGUACGUAUAAGCUUCAUAAAACUUACCUUAGCAUAUUAAUGAUUCGCUUUUAUCCACAAAUCAUAAUCUUAGCCCAAAAUAGAUUUUCAUAGAACACACCGGAUAUACGGAACAAAUACAGAGGUGCAUUAUUAUGCACUAAUGAACAGAGAGCACUAAAGUGCUAUACAGAGAGCACAGAUGUGCUAAACAGAGAGCACUGACGUGCUAAAUAUCAGAGAGCACCAACGUGCUAAUAGUCAGAGAGCACUAACGUGCUAAUAAUCAGAGAGCACUAACGUGCUAAUAAUCAGAGAGCGCGCUAAAGUUCCUUAAUGGCAUGCCACUAAUAUCCUGGUAGUUCUAAAUUCCAUCUACUUGGGCACUAAAACUGAAUCUCAUUCAUUUAAAUACUUUAUAGAAUUAUUUUGAAAAAGAUUUCUCAUUUCUCCAUCAUUACAAUUCAAUGCUUAUUUCACAAUUCACAAUUAUCACACCAUUUUCACACACACACACACAUAUAUAUACACUUUUGUCACAACAUUACUUAUUGUUCAAACAUUAUACCAUCUUAUAUUUUCCAUAUAUAAUUUUUCUUUACAAAUUUCAUAGUUCCAUAAUCUUUUAUUUUACUUUAUUUUAUUUUAUUUCUAAAUAGUUCUAUACUAUAAUAUAGGCAUUUAAAAUAAAUAAUUUCUAAAAAAAAUAAUCUUGUAGUACUUACAACAAAAAGGUUGAGAUGAUGUCUUCCUUCACUCCUUAGCCUUCUCUUUUCCUUUUUCUUCAAUAAGGUCCUUUCCUUUCCUUUCUUUCUCUUCAAUUUCAUAUAAAACACAUAAUAUUUAUAUAUUAGAAAAACAAUCAAAUAACUUUCCUAUAUCAUUUAAUAAAAAUAAACAUAUAUGAUAUAAUAAUUUCAUAAUUUCUUACCUUAGCUAAUAUUUCAAUUUAAUUCAUAACUAAAAUUAUUUCUAUUUCUAUCACAACCUAUACCUUAUUUCUACUUAAAUUCAACUUACACCUUAACUUAACUCUCAAAUUUUCACUAAUAAACCUUAAUUUCGAAUUUCUUACAAUUUUACAUUAAACUUAUAACUUAUUUCUCAAUUUCAUCCUUUUCCCAAUCCUAGUUUGAAUUUCCAUCAAUUCAACCUCUAAUUCAUCCACUAAUUCAAUAUAAACUACAUAAAAAAAUUCUACUAACUUUCAAAAUUUCAACAUAUACCUACUAGUAUUUUGAUCUAGAAUCAUAAAAACUCAAAAAUUUCAAGAAAAUGACUUAAUUUGACUUACCGAUUUGAAAUUGAACCUUAAAACCCUAAAUUCCUUCUUUACUUUUUCUUUCUUUCUUUCUCCCCUGUUUCUCCCCUGUUUCGUUUCAAAUGCUAUUCUGUUUCUUUCUCUUUAUUUCUUUUCUUUUGUUUUAUAUAUAUUUAUAUAAUAAUAUAAUAUUAUAAUAAUAUAAUAUAAUAACUUACUUAUUAAUUAAAUAACAUAAUAUAUAAUAUAUAUAUUUAAAUAAAAAAAAUAUCUUAGAUAUUUCAUUUGUUAUGCCGCCUCAAUUUUAGAAAAAGGCAUAAUUGCCUAUUUGGUCCUUUUAACUUUCUUUAAUUUAUAAUUAAACUUUCACACUUAUUUCAAUCUAAUCCCUUUUUCCUAAUUACUUCUAAUUAAAUCAAUUUCACCUAGUCAAAACAUAAUUAGACACACAACUAACUUCGUAAAUAUUUAUAAUAAAUAUUUACGAAUCCGAUUUACCGGAACGGAGUCCCGGAAAUGCAUUUUUUUAUUUAAUCUAUUUAAAUAAAUUUUACCAUAUAAUCAAUAAAAUUUUAUUAUCAAAAUUUUCAUGCAACCUUCCUAUCAUAAUAUAGACCAUACCACAAUAUUAAAAUAAAUUUUCUUUCUAGCUCGGAUUUGUGGUUACGAAACCACUAUUCCGAUUUACUGAAAAUGGGUCAUUACACUAGUUAUCUACCCUUUCUAUGUAUUGCUUCAAACCAGUGACAGGUAGCAAAUUUGCAGACUAGAUUGCUAAAACUAAAUUGCUGCAACCAAAGGAAAGAAAAAAUUAACUAAGAAAAAACUAAACUUGUUCAACUUCAUCACUAAAACAAAUUUACAUGAACUUAAGUGAAUAAUCAAUUGUCAAAUUAUCUAAAUCAAAAUAUUAAAAUAGCGUAUUUUAUAUAUAAAAUUUUCUUAAAUUUUAUACUGAUUAAACCUAAAUAGAAAGACAAAACAAACGUCCUGACUCCUUUAAACAAAAAUAAUUAGAAAUAAAAAACAAGGUUUAGAAUAUGCUGCAAAAUUGUUUUUAAUUUCGAAAUUAACUUUAACCACAAACAAAUUAAAAAUAUAUAUCAAUACAAAAAUUACUUAGGAAUUCGAAAGCAUACAAGUUAUUGUCAAAAUGUAAGACAGUUACUGCCUAAAACCCUAAACAAAAUAAAUUGGUAAAGCUAAAAUUAAGAGAAAAGAAUUUCAUACCUUUACGAAGACGGAGAGAAAGUAAAUCGGACAGGAUGUGAUUCCACAAUACUCAAAAAUGAGAUUGUUUUAUGAGCUUCGGAAACCCUUAAACCAUGGACGAAAUGGAAUGUUAACAAUAUUGAACCCUAAACAUGAAAAAUAAGAGGGAAAUCAAACCGGUUCGUGCUUACCCAAAAAACUAUUCCACUGUUCGUCUUCCUCUAAAUGCUGUGAAGAAUUAAACGCACUAAACCGACUAAAUGAAGAACCGAAUAAAGUAAAAGACUCCAUGAAUGUCUGGAAUUAGGGAAGUGGAGGAGAUUUCGAAAGGAAAAUAGGGAUUUGGAAGGGGAAGGGGAAGGAAACCGAGUUUAGGGGCUGCGUACGGGUUUUAGGGUUCGAAAGGGGAAAUAUGUGACGCCAAGCAGAGCGACGACGUUCAGAAUAUCUGAACUGUUCCUCAAAUGAAACGGCGACGUUCUGAACAUUUUGUAAUACACAGUUGCGGCGUUUUCAGAAAAAAUGCCGCUAAAGCUUACAAUUUGCGGCGUUUUAAAUAAAAACGCCACUAAAGAGUUAAAACCAUUUAAGAAAACGACGCCGUUUUCAUACACACAAUAAUUUAUGGAUUUGCGAUGUUUUUAUAAAAAACGCCACUAUCGUAUACCUACAGUGGCGUUUUUCAUAAAAACACCACUAAAAAUCAAAUUCAUGUAUCCAAACAGCACCAUUUUACAUAAUUUUAAACACAUUUUUGCGGCGUUUCUGGCCCAAACGCCACUACUGUAAAAAAUUUCCAAGUAUUUAAUAAUUUAAAAAAUUUAAAAUAUCAUACAACAAUAUGACAAUAUUAUUUUUAAUUCUAUUAAAUGGGAAAUUUGAUUUUUAGUGAUGGUAUUUUUCUUAAAAUUUAAGGUAGGAACUUAAUCCGUAUAUAGUGUUUGUAUUUUUCUAAAACUUCAAUUUAAAAAUUUAAUUCGGUGAAGUCAGGUUGUAUUUUUCAAAAAUACUAAAUAACCUAAACCCUAAAUCACAACCCCUAUAUAUCCUGAAAACCAUCAACCGUAAACUUUUUACCCUAAACCCUUAAACCCUAAACCCUUAACCCUUAACCCUUAAUCCUAAACCCUUAACCCUAAAUUGAUAUAGACCCUCUUAUCCCUUAAACCCUAAAUCUUAAACCUAUAAAUCAUAAACCAUGACCCUUAACCCCUAACACCUACACCCUAAGCCCCAACCUCAAAUGAUAAACCACAAACCAUAAUACGUAACCCUUAACCAUAUCCCCUAAACCUUCAAUCAUAUAACAUUAACUAUAAACCCCUAACCCUUAACCCUAAACACUUCAACCUUAGACCCCAACUAUUGCACCAUAAUCCCUAAACCCCUAACUCAACCAUAUUCCUUAAACCCUGAAUCAUAGAACAUAUAUAAACCCUAAAUCUUAAACCCUAAAUCAUAAAACAUUUAUAAACUAUAAACCUUAAACCUCAACCCUUAAAUAAUAAACAAUAAACAAUAAACCGUAAGGCCUAAAUCCAUAAUCCCUAAACCGCCAAUGUGUUGAAAGCUCAACAAAAAAAAAUAUUGUUUUGCUUAACGAUUUUGCGGCGUUUUUCUAAACGCGCCACUAAUGUCUCUAAACCUCCACAAGAAAACGACAACGUUUUGCUUAAAUAUUUUUGAGGCGCUUAACAUAAAGCGCCACUAAUGCUUGACUUCUACGGCGUUUUUAAAGCUGCGCCGCUAGUGUACCUAAACCUUAACAACAAAACGGUGCCGUUUGCAUAGCAAUUCUUGCGGCGUUAGCGUAAAACCGCCGCUAAUUAUUGAAUUUUGCGGCGUUUUAGCAAGGCGCCACUAAUAUCUCUAAAAGUAAACGUUGCGUUUUGGAUAAGAUCUUCGUGGCAUUUUCGCGUAAGCGCCACUAAUUCUAGUAUACAUCAAGACCAAACUCUGUGUUUUGGUUAAGAUACUUUGCGGCGCUUUUCACCAAAUGCCGCUAAUACUAUGCUUUAGCGGCAUUUCCCUUAAGCGCCACUAAUGCUAGUAUACAUAAAGACUAACACGCUGCGUUUUGGUUAAGAUACUUUGCGGUGCUUUACAAUAAGCGCCACUAAUUCUAGUGUACCUCAAGACCGAACUCCGCGUAUUGGUUAAGAUAUGUUGCGGCGCUUUUCAAAGCACGCCGCUAAUACUGUACUUUAGUGGCGUUUUGUCGUCGACGCCACUAAUUCUAGUAUACAUCAAGACUAAAACGCUGCGUUUUGGUUAAGGUAUUUUGCGGCGCUUCCCACUACACGCCGCUAAGACUAUGCUUUAGCGGCGUUUUGUCAUAAACGCCACUAAUUCUAAUAUACAUCAAGAUUAAAACGAUGCGUUUUCGUUAAGAUUGUUUGCGGCGCUUUUCACCGAGCGCCGCUAAUACUUGCUUUAGUGGCGUUUUGUCAUAAACGCCACUAAUUCUAAUAUACAUCAAGAUCAAAACGAUGCGUUUUCGUUAAGAUUGUUUGCGGCGCUUUUAACCGAGCACCGCUAAUACUUGCUUUAGUGGCGUAUUCCAAUAAUCGCCACUAAUUUUGGUAUACAUCAAGACCAAAACGCUGUGUUUUGGUUAAGAGAUUUUGCGGCGCUUGAAGGUAACGGUCAAAAAAAUGAUUGUUGCACUGUUCACGCACGGGGCAAAUCGCGUCCCCAAGAGCGCGCUACACAUCAGCAAAUCGUGUCCACGUCAGCGCGCUUUGCUUACGUGGAUGCGAUUUGCUGAUACGUUUCCUGACUUCGCGCUGACGUGGACGCGAUUUAGGGGAAAGGGCCCAUUCUGGUAAAUAAUGGAAUACCGUGCCCAUUUCGGUAAAUUUAAAAAAAUUAGGCUUUUAAUGGUAAAUUGUCCUAACAUAUCAUCAUUUAAUUAAUUUUUUAAAAUUUAAAAAAAUAAAAAAAUAUUUAAAAAUUAAUUAAAUACUGACAUGUUAUUCACAUGGGAAUCUACAUAUAUACUACAUCAGCAAAGUGAAUAAAUAUUAAUUUUCCUAUUUAUUUUAAAGUGAUUUGACAAAAAAUUUAAAGUAAAACACAAACUUAAGAACAGUUGCAAUUAUUGUAGGCUCCAUUUUAUCAACACCCACCUUGUUGGAUUCAUAUGCAUCACUCAUUUAUGGCCCCCCAAUUUCCACAACUACGCGCAUUCAUUUGGAAAGUGAAAAGGUUAUAGAGAAAUUGCUUAGAAACCACCUUUAUUCUUCCCUGGAAAUUUGAUCUGUUUCUAGUUUCUUUCAGACGUAUUGAGCUAUCAGUUUUCUGAUUUUCAACACUACAUCCACAUUUUUUUUUUCUCGCACAUCGUCAUGUCGUCAUUACCUUCAACUUCUUCGUCCAAUUCUAGAAAGAAAUAUGAUGUUUUCUUGAGUUUUAGAGGUGAAGAUACCCGCACCAACUUUACCGAUCAUCUCUAUGAUGCUUUAAGUAGGAGUGGGAUCGUCACUUUCAGGGAUGAUCCAAAGCUGGAGGCCGGCGAAGAGAUCGCGCCAGAACUCUUUACAGCAAUUCAGCAAUCAUGGUGUUCGGUAAUCGUUUUUUCACAAACUUAUGCCUUUUCAAGUUGGUGCUUGGAGGAGCUUGCUGAGAUUGUUAAACAACAUAACAACGACGGUCAUAAAGUGUUUCCAAUUUUUUACGAUGUUGAUCCAUCUGAUUUAAGAAAACGAAAAGAGAAAGUGGAAGAAGUCUUUGCUAGACAUAAAGAUAGUGAGAAGAUCCAAAGGUGGCGAAAUGCUUUAAUUCAAGUGGCUGGAAUCAAGGGAUGGUAUUUAAAUAACAGGUAACUCUUUCUUUUCUUCUCUCUAUUUUCUAUUUUUUGGGAUAUAUAUGUAUAACUUUGUUUUUUUCUUUCUAAUCCUAUGUGUUUAAUUGAAAAAUGUCUUGGUUCUUGUUUGCUUCCAAACUAUAUUAUGUUUCAUGAUUCAUUGAAAAAGAAAGUGCAUUUGAUAAUAUGAAAAAAAAAAAUUAUUCAAAAGAUUAAAAUUUAUUUUCUUGUAGGCAUGAAUCAGAAUUUAUUAGAGAGAUUAUUAAGAAGAUAUCAGCAAAACUAUGUCACCCAGUUACUCAUAGUGACUUGGUUGGAAUGACUGAACGCUUGGAGGAUUUAUAUUUGAAAAUAAACAUUGGGGAAAAUGAUGUCCGCAUUAUAGGGAUUUGCGGAAUGGGUGGUAUCGGUAAAACAACACUCGCAAGACUUGCUUAUAAUCAAAUGUCACGUCAUUUUGAAAGUAAAAGCUUUAUUGCUGAUAUUCGAGAAGUUUCAGACAGAUGUGGAUUAGUUUCUUUACAGAAACAACUUCUUUCUGAGAUUUUUCAUGAUGAAUGCUUCAAAUUUUUCAAUGUUCAUGAAGGGAACGAUAUAAUUAGUCAUAUGUUGUCUCGCAAAAAGGUUCUUGUUGUUCUUGAUGAUGUUGAUAACAUACAACACUUAAAAUGCUUGGUUGGAAGGCACGAUUGGUUCGGAUUAGGGAGUAGAAUCAUUGUAACAACAAGAGAAGAACAUUUGCUUCGAUCUUGGCCAGUUAAUGAUAUGUAUGAGCCCACAACAUUGAAUCCCAAAGAUGCGCUUCAGCUUUUCAGUCUGAAAGCUUUUCAUAGUGAUACAGUGCCGAAAGAUGAUUUCAUUGAGCUUUCUUACCAUGUUGUAAAAUAUGCUGGUGGGCUGCCGUUAGCUCUUGAAAUUUUGGGUUGCUUUUUAUGCGGUAGAGAUGCUACUCAAUGGAGAAGUGCAAUUGAAAGACUUAAAAGAGAUUCUAACAAAGAAAUUCUUGAUAAACUUCGAAUCAGUUUUGAUGGAUUGGAAGAAAGGGAGAAGAAUAUAUUUCUAGAUAUAGCAUGCUUCUUCAAUGGGGAGGAGAAAGAUUGUGUAAAGAAAGUAUUGGAUGGUUGUGAGUUNNNNNNNNNNNNNNNNNNNNNNNNNNNNNNNNNNNNNNNNNNNNNNNNNNNNNNNNNNNNNNNNNNNNNNNNNNNNNNNNNNNNNNNNNNNNNNNNNNNNUGUUCUCAUUAAAAAAUCUCUCAUAAAAGUCGAUGAACACAAAUAUUUGUGGAUGCAUAACUUGUUGCAAGAAAUGGGAAGAAAAAUUGUUAGAGAAAAAUGUGUUGAUAAACCUGGAAAACGUUGCAGAUUAUGGGAGGAAAGAGACGUCUAUCAUGUCCUAACAAAAAACACUGUAAGUCAUUUAACAAAAGUUACAUACUAUUUCUAUUUUGUUAUAUAAUAUCAAAUCAAUAUAUGAUAUAAACCCAAAGCUUAGUCUAAUUGGUUGAUACAACUAUUCUUAAAAAGUGAUCUUUAGUAAUUUUGAGAUUACAAAUAUUAAAAAGGAUUUGUAGAAAUAAAUAUUUAAUUUCAUUGCAUUACCCUCUUUAGAGCAUAAUAUUUGUAGAAAUUGUUUUAUUUAAAUUUAAAAUGCUUUAUUUAUUAUAAUUAGAAUAUAAUAAUGCUAAAAAAAAGUAAGUUUUUAAAAGUUUUAUCCUACAUUAUACACCAUUUAAUUUAAUUUAUUUUCUAUUUUUGAUUUUUCUUAGGGUACAAAAAUAAUUGAAGGUAUAAUCAUCGAUAAUAAAAGGUAAGAAAACAUAAACUUAUAUUUACGUGUAAUAUGAUAAAAAAAUAUAGCAAAACCUUUGACACCCAAUAUUUCAAUGUUUAAUUAAAAAAUUUAUCUACUAGCGUAUUACUCUUCCAAAAGAUUCAAUAGAGAAAUGUAUGUCUUUUUGAAAUAUUAAUAGUAUAUCAAUGAAAUAGACUAUAACAUAACUUUUAGAUAUUGAAUGUUUUAGUAUAUUUUGAAGCUCAUUUUUGCUUUGCUCACUUAUAUUAGGGAAUCGGGCAAGAUGCUCAACUUGAGUGUCGAUGCCUUCUCAAAAAUGAAAAAAUUGAGAUUGCUCAAAGUGCUUUGCCUAUUAAAUUGUGAUGAUCUCAAAUUUCUUUCUAAUGAGCUACGGCUUUUAGAUUGGAAAGGAUGCCCUUUAAGAUCGUUACCUUCAAGCUUUCAACCGGACAACCUUGUUGCACUUCUUUUAUCAUAUAGUCGCAUUCAACAACUAUGGAAGGG